AGAGUUUGAUCAUGGCUCAGGAUGAACGCUAGCUACAGGCUUAACACAUGCAAGUCGAGGGGCAGCAUAAUGGAUAGCAAUAUCUAUGGUGGCGACCGGCGCACGGGUGCGUAACGCGUAUGCAACCUACCUUUAACAGGGGGAUAACACUGAGAAAUUGGUACUAAUACCCCAUAAUAUCAUAGAAGGCAUCUUUUAUGGUUGAAAAUUCCGAUGGUUAGAGAUGGGCAUGCGUUGUAUUAGCUAGUUGGUGGGGUAACGGCGUCACCAAGGCGACGGAUACAUAGGGGGACUGAGAGGUUAACCCCCCACACUGGUACUGAGACACGGACCAGACUCCUACGGGAGGCGA
Molecule: ribosomal RNA, 352 nt
Filed under: uncultured bacterium
Lineage: Bacteria
Description: bacterial SSU rRNA
Rfam family: Bacterial small subunit ribosomal RNA
Source: RNAcentral